Molecule: transfer-messenger RNA, 381 nt
Filed under: Chthoniobacter flavus
Lineage: Bacteria; Pseudomonadati; Verrucomicrobiota; Spartobacteria; Chthoniobacterales; Chthoniobacteraceae
Also listed under: 1 other name
Description: Standard tmRNA
Rfam family: transfer-messenger RNA
About the family: Bacterial tmRNA, also known as 10Sa RNA or SsrA, is named for its dual tRNA and mRNA-like properties. Its role is to liberate the mRNA from a stalled ribosome.
Source: RNAcentral
GGGGGCGUACUGGUUUCGACUGUUGGUUCGAGACACAGGCCGCAUGCCGAGGAAGCCUGGUUGGCCUCGUUAAAACACCUGGGCAAAACAUAACUGCGAACAACGUAGUUGAAGCCGACUUCUCUUCGGAGGAGCUGGCCCUCGCGGCUUAAUUGACCGUGACGUCCCCGCUGUGACGCCUGCUGGCGGCGGGGGCGACGACAGCAGGCUGGCCCGAGGGCGGAAUGACCGCGCCCAAAGGUAAGAAAAUUUCGUGGUCGACCGGGAGAGGGCAGUUUGCCCGCCAAUCGUUUCUCUCCUCAAAUUAAGGACGGGCUAAGCAUGUAGAAACUUGUGAUGAGAGUCAUCAGGACAGGGGUUCAACUCCCCUCGCCUCCACUU